This 216-nucleotide long non-coding RNA is filed under the name Actinidia chinensis (golden kiwifruit). RNAcentral's name for it is "long non-coding RNA (ACHI_LNC000093)". The record is from RNAcentral. Lineage: Eukaryota; Viridiplantae; Streptophyta; Magnoliopsida; Ericales; Actinidiaceae.
UUAGAAAGCUUGAGCUUUCAUUGCUCAAAUAAUCUGAGUCUAACAUCGGUACAAAUAUAAAAGUCCCAUGCGUCUUUGGUCUAUAAAUGUCUAAAAAGCCUUGCACGGUCUGUUGUUUUGCAUUGGCAACAGACAUCACUCAUAACUAUCCAGCUGUGUGACUUUUGGCUCACCUGCCCAUUUCUGUCCGGAAGAGCAAUUUAUGAUCGUGAUGUG